UGGGGAAUAUUGCACAAUGGGCGCAAGCCUGAUGCAGCAACGCCGCGUGAGGGAUGACGGCCUUCGGGUUGUAAACCUCUUUUAGUAGGGAAGAAGCGAAAGUGACGGUACCUGCAGAAAAAGCACCGGCUAACUACGUGCCAGCAGCCGCGGUAAUACGUAGGGUGCGAGCGUUGUCCGGAAUUAUUGGGCGUAAAGAGCUCGUAGGCGGUCUGUCGCGUCUGCUGUGAAAACCCGAGGCUCAACCUCGGGCCCUGCAGUGGGUACGGGCAGACUAGAGUGCGGUAGGGGAGAAUGGAAUUCCUGGUGUAGCGGUGGAAUGCGCAGAUAUCAGGAGGAACACCGAUGGCGAAGGCAGUUCUCUGGGCCGUAACUGACGCUGAGGAGCGAAAGCGUGGGGAGCGAACAGGAUUAGAUACCCUGGUAGUCCACGCCGUAAACGUUGGGCGCUAGAUGUGGGGACCAUUCCACGGUUUCCGUGUCGCAGCUAACGCAUU
This 497-nucleotide ribosomal RNA is filed under the name uncultured bacterium. RNAcentral's name for it is "partial 16S ribosomal RNA". It matches the Rfam family "Bacterial small subunit ribosomal RNA", at positions 355 to 861 of the family's 1533-position model. The record is from RNAcentral.